CGAGCGUACUGGCAGGGGCUGGGCGCGCAGCCUGCCGCGGGGCAGUGGCAGCGUGCUCCGCCACUCCGGAAUAAGGCAGUUCACCAGGGAUGUGGGUUCCCGGGGUACUGUAGGAGACUCUCAGGGACAGUAGAUUCCCAGGGCUAGUGAGUUUCAGGGAUAGUAUGUGCCCAGGGGCGGUGGGUCCCAAAAGGCAGUGAGUUCCCAGGAACAGUGGGGUCUCCGGGUCAUCAAGGGUCUCAGGACCAAGGAGAACUACACACAAGGAGAACGUGGGAAGUCACGGAACAGUGGGUUUCCAGAAAAGUGGGUCUGGGGAUUCUCAGGACCAAGGAGGAAUAGAGAGCAGCUAGAAGGAGAAUGAUCAAAGUACAUUGGACCGGUAAGGACAGCAGCAUCUCCAGGAAGACUGGACACACCAAGAAAGCUUCUCAGCAGAAAUUCCUCUCCCACGGGAAAACGGGUUCCAAAAUAACGAAGUCAGGAGGGCCUUGCGAAGUCAGGAGGGCCUUGCCAGCGCCUCAGCCUAGUCCGGGGAUAUCUGACACUUCGUUGUUCUUUGGUCUCUGUUUUGUUUUGUUGGUGGUGGUUUGUUGGUUUGGUUUGCUUUUCUUUUUCCUUCACUUUUAAAUGUAAUGCUUAUUUAUUUGUUUGCUUGUUUGUUUUAGACCGUGUCUUCUCAGGAACCAACUGGAGAUCCUUCUGCCUCAGCCUCCUAGGUGCUAGGAUCACAGGAGUGUACUACCCAACCUAGCUAAAAACAGCUAUGUGGUUUAAGAGGGAGACGGUUACUGAAGAUCAAACCUAGGGGCUUCAGGAAUGAUAGUCAAGGGCUGUACCCAGGAGCUGCAGCCCAGACUCUAGUUUCCUCACAGGAAAUUUUGGCUCAGUGAUGGAGAAUUUCUGCCUCCUCUUCCUCUUCCUCCUCCUCUCCCUCUUCUUCGUCCUCCUCCCUCCUCCUCCCUCCUCCCUCCUCCCUCCUCCCUCCUCCCUCCUCCCUCCUCCCUCCUCCCUCCUCCCUCCUCCCUCCUCCCUCCUCUUCUUUCUCUUCUUCCUUCUAUGUUUAAAACUAUAAAGUCCCUACUAUACAGUAUUUAACUACAUCCUACAUGCUUAUUGUAUUUUUGGUCCUUUAAAAUAUUUCUAAUUCUCCUGGUAUUUUAUUUGCACCCAUGAUGUAUUCCAAAGGGUGCUGUAAGUUGCAAACAUUUGGAGUCCACGUAGAGAUACUGUGCUAUUGAUUUCUAGCUAACUCUGCUAUGAUUAAAGAAUAGAUCCAGAAUGACUUUUAUUUUUAUUCAUUUGCAUUUACAACUUGCCUUAAUGGCCACCGUGGAGCCCCCCUUGGUAUACGUUCCAUUGAACUUAAAAGGAAGGUGUAUGCUGUUGUUGGGGUUGAUCCUAAGACCUCCUUUAGACCCUCUACCACUGAAAUAUCUUCCCUGGUCCUUAAAAACAACCUCUUUUAAUUUUGAGACAGGGCCCUGCUAAGUUUCUCAGGCUGGUCUUGAACCUGUGAUGUGCCCGCUGAGUCGUUUGGCUUGCACUAUUUGCAAUAUCACACCUUAGAGAGUCUGAUCAAGCUCAGAUGGUACCUCCGUCUUCCAUAUCCUCACCGAAGUUUUGGCCACUGUGGAAAUCUCCAGGGGAAGUUAAUCUCCUACCUCGGCAGCACAAAGUUCUAUUUCGAACUUUCCUUCUGUCCUUUCUCACUGUGCCUUUUGGGAUUCUGUUGGCGUGUAUACAUGUUUUGGGGUCGAUGUCUUCUUGGUAGCUGGCCCCUCGUGUCACCGUGAAGUGCGUCUGUCUGUUAACACGCUUUGUCUUGAGUCUGUUUCAGCUAAGCCGUCAACAAAGCCGCCUGUGCUUGCUUCCUGUGUGAGCAUGUCUUUCAGUUUUGCCUGCAAUGGUUAACAGAGGUCUGUCUCUGCUGUCACUGUUGGCUUCUAAGUGAAGCUUUUAAACCAUCACCAUCUAGUGCCAUUUUUGAUAAGUAUCAGUGUUGACUAUUAAUGGUUUCCCUUUUCUUCUCUACCUAGCCUGUUUGUGUAUGUGGGCAGGUACACACCGCAGUGCACAUACUUCAGAAGAGUGGACAACUUACAGGAGCCAAUCCUUUCCUUCCACCAUGGGGGCUCAGGGGAUCCAACUCAGGCUGUCCGGUUGGCAAAUGAACACCUUUAACCUCUCUUCUGUGUACUUCAUUAAUUCGGUUAACACUCCGCGAUAACAUUUGAACACCAGCGUUUUCUUACAGCCUUGGUCUCAAGUCUCAGGGAGAUCCCACAUCAAUGAGGGUGAGCAAAAUUAAUUAGGCCAUUGAACACCGGAGCCUUCUGCCUCUGCUUCCCAGGUGCUGGGGAAGAGGCCAGCGGUGGAGAACAGUGGGAGGCAAUGAGAUGCAUGCGGGUGUGGGGGACGCACAUGACUUGCUGCCAUCAGAGUUAGGGAACGAAACUGUCAGGUGGAUCAUAACUCUGGGUGUUUAUGUGACUUACACCGGGAAAAGUUCAUCCUGGAGAAAUUACCCAAAGCAUUCCACUUCAUUUACUAAUGUACACCAUUGGUGAGAACUUUUUUUAAAAAUUAUUAUUUUGGGG
RNAcentral lists this long non-coding RNA (2600 nucleotides) under Rattus norvegicus (Norway rat). Its description in RNAcentral is "long non-coding RNA NONRATT033487". Lineage: Eukaryota; Metazoa; Chordata; Mammalia; Rodentia; Muridae. The record is from RNAcentral.